Molecule: long non-coding RNA, 279 nt
Filed under: Lathyrus oleraceus (garden pea)
Lineage: Eukaryota; Viridiplantae; Streptophyta; Magnoliopsida; Fabales; Fabaceae
Description: Pisum sativum (pea) long non-coding RNA (PSAT_LNC007902)
Source: RNAcentral
CGGACUAAUGGAUGUGAUGUCAGAAAGAUUAUUUGGUUUGUCGAGCUCCGACAUGAUGAUAUGUUAGAUACACAAAGAAGACAGUUCCUUCUUCUUCUUCAACUUUUGUUCUUUUUUUUUUCUUUCUGUUUUGAUUCCUUUGAGAGAAAGAAAAUGAGAGGUGAAUUAGAGUUGUAUGUGUGGUCUUGGCCUUCAACGAAAAAGACGGAUAACUUCUCACUUUGAUUGUUGCUUUUUCCUUAUUUAUCUUUUUAUUCCACUAGUGAAAGAGAAAGAGGG